This 497-nucleotide ribosomal RNA is filed under the name uncultured bacterium. Its description in RNAcentral is "partial 16S ribosomal RNA". It matches the Rfam family "Bacterial small subunit ribosomal RNA", at positions 28 to 507 of the family's 1533-position model. The record is from RNAcentral.
GAUGAACGCUGGCGGCGUGCCUAAUACAUGCAAGUCGAGCGAACAGACGAGGCGCUUGCUCCUCUGAUGUUAGCGGCGGACGUGUAAGUAACACGUGGAUAACCUACCUAUAAGACUGGGAUAACUUCGGGAAACCGGAGCUAAUACCGGAUAACAUCUUGAACCGCAUGGUUCAACAGUGAAAGACGGUCUUGCUGUCACUUCUAGAUGGAUCCGCGCCGCAUUAGCUAGUUGGUAAGGUAACGGCUUACCAAGGCAACGAUGCGUAGCCGACAGGAGAGGGUGGUCGGCCACACUGGAACGGAGACACGGUACAGAGGCCUAGGGGAGGGAGCAGGAGGGAAUCUGCAGGAAGGGGCGAAAGCCUGACGGAGAAACGCCGAGUGAGUGAAGAAGGUCGUCGGAUCGGAAAACUCGGUUAUUAGGGAAGAACAAAUGUGUAAGUAACUAUGCACGUCUGGACGGUAAAUAAGCAGAAAGCCACGGCUAAAUAAGUG